UCGCCGCCUCUCACCUCCGCCUCGGCUCUGCCUUCCUCCCGGACUCCCCCAGCGCGUCCCCACCCUCCCGGUCCCCCGUGGCCGGCCAGCCUCCCGGCCCGGUACCUUCUUCAUGAUGCCCGUCUUCCUCUUGCUGAAGGUCGUGUAGCGCCGCAGUUUGUUGUCGAUGAACUCCAUCUUGAUCUUCACGCGGCCCCGAGUCUUCUUACCCGGCUUGGCCCCGCUCACCGCGCCGCUCACCGGCCCAUAGCCCCCGGUGGCUGCCGUCGCCGCCUCGGGCCCACCGACCACCACGCCGAGCUCCAUCUCGCUAAGGCUCCGCUUCAGGCCGCGCCGCUCCGCGCCCAGCUCCUCCUCCUCACCCGACUCCGAGUCGCCCUCGCUGCCGCUGUAGAGGGCCCCCGCGGUGGGCGCCGAGGUGGUUGUCGCUGCGGCUGCAGCCUCCCUCUCCAGGCGGCCCGGCCCGAGCCCCGCGCCGUUCCCGGGAACCCGGCCCCCGUUAGCCCCGCGAGUCCCGCCGCCGCCGCCACCUCCCGGCCGCCCCGUCGGGGUCCGGUUCAGGCUGCCCGCCAGGGCCGAGCCCCGGCCCAGAGCCGCCGCGGCCCCAGCUUGGCUCGGUAACAUGGCGCUCAAUGCAGGAGGGCGGACGGGCAGUCAGCGAGGAAUCGGAGCCGCCGCCGCCGCCGCCAUCGGCUUCCCGGCUCAACCCGGCACUCCUGCUGCUGCUAGAGCCUCUAUCGCUGCUGCCGUCGCCGCCGCCAACCCGGGGCCCCUGCACGCCCGGGCCGACCUGGGCCCUCACUUUCCUGCCCCUGUGGCCCGGGUUGCCCCAGGCCGCUCGGAGCGCCCCCUGUCCGUAUGCUAGGGCGGCGCGCCCGGCGGCCGUCAGCGUCCCCCGGGGGGCAGGGGCUGCUGGCCGCGGCCGAGACGGCGGGUGGAGGGGGCCGGGACCACGCGCUGGCGGCGGAGGGAUCCCCCGACCCUUCCCCCCAUAUAAAGAGAUACAAUGUUUCCUUUUAUGGCGAGGCCGCUCCUUAUAUGGUGAGCCCCUGCGCCCCCGCCGCAUUGGUCCGCGGUUCCGGCACCUCCGCUCCCCAUUGGCCCACAGGGAGCGCUUAUUUGCAUAGACAUACCGAACUCGCUGCUGUCAUCCCGCGUCAGACGGCGACUCCGAAGGAGGAGGAGCCGACGCCUCUUAAAGGAACAGGAGAGGAGGCGACACUUUCCCACCAGACUGGCUCCCCGGUCCUCAUUCAUCAUCCUCUAUACUGGAGGGAUCUUUGGCAGACGUACAUCUGGAAAAGACCGGGGGAGACAAUCGGCCUCUCCGUCCCCGAAGAGGGCAGGGUGACAAGAUGAAGAUCAGUGAAGACUUCCAGCUGCGGGUUGGGCUGGGGGAGGGGGUUGUCCCGGGGAUAAAGACCACCCUACCGCCAGUGCAAAGGCCUGGGAAAAAGUAGAGCCAGACAAAGUUUCAGCAAAUAAGCCAGCCAGCCAGCAUGUGCACACGCACACGCGCGCGCACACACACACACACCCACACACCCCUUACCCCUUCUAUGGAAAGCCCAUGAAGAGGUGGGAAGUUAGAGCCGUAGCGCUGCAAAGCCCAGGUUCAGGGUUUGGGUCUGGGUCUCAGCUCCAAGGCCGUGAAAAUAUCUUGGGCUUUGCCAUUAAAGAAAUUAUUCAAAUCUGGAAUCAGCCUCUUUCUAAGCCUGUGCCUGGAAAUAAGGGUUCCACCUCUCCAAACUCCUUCAUAUUCCUCAUUGUUAGUACCCAUCCGCUGAGGUUCUUAAUGUAAAUUAAAUGAGAUAAAGGCUAAAGCAUAGAGUAAGUGGUCAGUUAAUAGGAGCUACUGGGGUAAUCGAUUCAUUCUUGGAAUAAACAUCGGGUUGUCUUUAAGGGGAUGGGAGAGUGAUGUUUCCUUUCCUUAAAUUUUUUUGUGAAGAUUAAAUGAAGUGGUUGGUUUUGACCUAUUAUUGAUAGUGUACUGCGACAAGCAUUUAAAAUAAUAAAUCAAUGAGUACCACAAAAAGCAAGGGCAAAUAUUUCUGCAUGAAACUUGGUUUGCAUUACUGUUAGGUUGAACCAUGUAAAAUUGCCAUUUAGCAUAUUGUUGAUUUCAUAUGGCUCAAUGUGUGUGUACCUGAUGACGAUGUCAAUUGCAUCUUACUGUGAGUCACAGUCCAAAGACUGAAAAUACUGAAAUAAAGUAUGUUCAAGGGA
Molecule: RNA transcript, 2226 nt
Organism: Suricata suricatta (meerkat)
Lineage: Eukaryota; Metazoa; Chordata; Mammalia; Carnivora; Herpestidae
Exons: 2
Source: RefSeq, a predicted model, not a curated record